Molecule: non-coding RNA, 408 nt
Organism: Sus scrofa (pig)
Lineage: Eukaryota; Metazoa; Chordata; Mammalia; Artiodactyla; Suidae
Source: RefSeq, a predicted model, not a curated record
CCUGUUGUAAUUUGCUCUUGUCUUUGUUUGGUGUGAAACCUUUACCCAGAAAUGACUAAUCUAUAUUGAGGUCAAGGCUACCUCUAAUAGGGAAUUCUGCUCUGUUCCAACAUAGGACAUGCCAGCUGCAGGAGAUACAGGAAAAAGCUGCUCAUUUUUAGGAGACUGAAAUGAAUUUGUCAACACUUUUUGGAUGAAAGAAGAAACACAAAAUGCCUUGCUCAACACGAUGGUGAAAGGCAAAUUGGAGUGUGGACUUUGCAGCUAAUUACCCUUAUCCUGAUCCCAGAAAGUUGACUGCUUUCUCAAUAACUUGCAGGUGACUUUUUUUUUUUUUUCUGACAGUUCUGUUCUGUGUUUAAACCAAAAAGGCAGAUCACCCAUUUGUAUUGAAUUAUGCAUGACAGU